UUUAUUGGUUACUCCCUGCUAGUAUGACGGCUAGCUCAACUCUCACAUGGUUGCCCACUGAAGUUAAGCAGGGCUGUGCCUGGUCAGAACCUGGAUGGGAGACCACAUGGGAAAGCUAUAGGUUGCUGCUGGAA
RNAcentral lists this ribosomal RNA (134 nucleotides) under Danio rerio (zebrafish). Lineage: Eukaryota; Metazoa; Chordata; Actinopteri; Cypriniformes; Danionidae. The record is from RNAcentral.